CCUCAAACACCCCGGUGAGGAAAGCGUUAUUAUCCCUGUUUUCCAAAUGAGGACACUGAGGCUCAGGGAGCUGGGUGAUGUGUCAAAAGUUGCCCAGCUGCAGAGUGGCAAUGCUGGAAUUUGAAGCCAGGCUUUUCUGAUUCUGAAUUCCAUGUUUUCUUACUUGCCUUUUUCUUCUGCUCCAGCUUGCAGUGCCUCGGAGAGGUGGCGCUGGCUAGCCUGGGACUUCCAACAUACAGCCUACAUUGAUGGCCUGAGACUUGUGGCAAAAAAGACUUUCAAAAUCUAAUUUGCUCACAUACAUGAACACCUGCCAGGAAGGAAUUUGAGGCCUUUGUUCUAAACAUGGAAAAGCUGAGUUCAUUUGCCCCAGAGGGGGCACCUGCAGGGAAAAGGAAAAAUGGUUUUAACCCUUUCCUUGAGUCAGAAAAUGAGGCCACCAGAUUCUCCUUUCAUCCUUCAAGUAUCAGAAAGGUCUGUGCUGUGAAUUCCACAGAUGAGAUUCAUUGCAAGAUGUGAGGGCAGAGGAAAUCCAUGGAAAUGAAAUCCACAUUCAAACUGGAUGCAUGCGUUCAGCAACUGGAAGCUGAGUUCAUAUUUCAUUGCCCAACUACCCUGACCACUUGGGAAUCGCAGGUUUGGAAGGACCCACAGCCAUUCUGUGGAAAUGGAUCUGCUUUCAGGACCGAAUCUCAGACUUCUUGGGGAAGGUUUCAGUGGCUGCCUUUGCUGUGCAGACCUGGAGAUGGGUCUGAUGAUCGGACACCUGAAUUAUCUGUGUGGCUGAGUUUCAAGAAGACCUGCUGGGGUGAAAUGAAAAUGGUGCCUACUAGAAGCCCCAGUGGCUUUGCUGGUGGAGGCUAGCUUGCUCAUGUCCUCAUACAGAAGCAGAGAUGCAAGCAAGUGAGAAGGUGGAAGGACUCAGGUCUUGGGCCUUACUCUGAGAACUAUAACACCAUUCCUUCUGCUGCAUUCUCUUGUCUAAAUGACAUGGAUGAAGCUGGAAGCCAUCAUUCUCAGCAAACUAACACAAGGACAGAAAACCAAACACCGUGUGUUCUCACUCAUAGAUUUGCUCCUCCACUGGCUCUUCUUGUAGACACACGACUGCUACAGUAUCAAGGGUCUGAUGCAGACAUGACAAUGUCAAGAGGAAGAGGAGAGCCUCGCUCUUCCCAGGCUUUUGCUUUUAAGAGCAGAAAAACUUUCCCCAGAGUUCCACCAGCUCACUUCUCAUCUUACUUCUUUGGCCAGAACUGGCCCUUGUGCCCAUAUUGUCAGUCAAAUGCCGACAAAGGAAAGGGGCCACUAUGAGUGGUUUAGACUUGGAUUGGAUUUGUCCUUAUUGGAUUGUCCUUAAGUCCUUUGAAAAAGAAGUAUACAACAGAAUGAAAUCUUGACUCAGCUUUCAAGAAUAAAGAGGGUGAGAUGACUGAUGGAUGGCUAGCAAAAUCAGAUGUGGGCUCUGUCCUCAUGGAGCAUACAGUCAGAAGGGGAAGAUUUACCUAAUUACACUAACAAACUUAUAACUGUGGUCAGUGUUCUGAAGGAAAGGAAAUCCAGUUGUAUGGUAACGUAUAACAAAGAAACUGAACUAGGAUGGAGAUGGGGGUGGUAAGUGUAGUUGGGGAAGCCAGGGACAUGAUCUGUAAGAUGGCUGGCCUGGAUUCAAAUUCCACUCCACUUACUUGCUGUGUGAUUUUAGAUUAGUCGCUUCUCCUCUCUGAGCUCAACUUCAUCUAUAACAAUCUUUCCUAGGGUUGUUAAAGGAUUGAAUGAGCCACUCUAUGUAACCACUUGACACAUAUUAGGCACUUCAGUGGCUCCUUUUCCAGAUUAAAGAAGGAGAAAACGUGUAUGUUUGGAGUUAGCACAAGACAGGAUGAUUCCUCAUGUUUGUUUUGGAAAACAAGUCUUAAACUCACAGCCAUGACAGAGUCUGACAUCAUCAGACAUCAGGCGUGUUAAGAAUUGCACUCUUAAUUGAAAAUGUCCAGAGUUUGUGAUUAAUUGCAAUCCUUUUCAGAUCCUUUCCCUAAGAAUUUAAUUUUUCUCCCCACCCACCCGGAGGUCAGGCUUUUAAUGUAACAAGUACAAUCAAUCUUCCACUGAAGAUGGCCUCUCUCUAGUGCAAGCUGGAGCAGGACUCAUCUGGAUUAGAAGCCUAGACGGUUUGGAGUCACCUGGUGAGGUUUACGUGCACAGCUGGGGCCCAGCCUACCUAAUUAGGACCAGAGAGUGGUUGAGAAGGGGACCGGCGCGUAUUCUAGGCGCCCUCCUCCAGUGUCUGUUUCUAAUAAUGGCAGAAAGUAGCAGAGGCGGCGGGGUGAGCUUGGAGCGUGGUGACAUCAUCCCUCCAGCUGUUUUACACAUCUGUGACAUGGCUCAUUAGGACUCUCUUAACACCUCAUCCUUCCCUGCUCCACACAGCUCCAGUUGCAUGAGAAAAGGUGCUCUUGCAUGUGAGGGGCCCCAAGACUGGGGCUGACUUCAGGGUCAAAGAUUCGCUUGGGCACUCUACCAGUCAUCAGAAUUUUCACAGAGACACCCCCCCAACACACACACCCGCAGCAUGCGCUCCUUGAAAGUGCUAAUAGCUUCAAUAUGAGGCUGGCACUUCUGCAUGACUGUUGGUGUUCAGGGCCAGCCUAGUCUUGGGGAGUAGGCCAUCUGUAGCAGCUGCAGAAAUGUUUUUGCUUAUUUUGAGCAUUCUAAGUUUUUCCUAGCCAUGAAUAACAACAAUCGAAUAAAU
Long non-coding RNA from Homo sapiens (human), 2752 nucleotides. The record is from Ensembl. Lineage: Eukaryota; Metazoa; Chordata; Mammalia; Primates; Hominidae.